Molecule: ribosomal RNA, 258 nt
Filed under: uncultured bacterium
Lineage: Bacteria
Description: partial 16S ribosomal RNA
Rfam family: Bacterial small subunit ribosomal RNA
Source: RNAcentral
GUCCACGCCCUAAACGAUGUUUACUUGCUGUUCCUGCGCAAGCGGGAGUGGCGAAGCGAAAGCGCUAAGUAAACCACCUGGGGAGUACGCCGGCAACGGUGAAACUCAAAGGAAUUGACGGGGUCCGCACAAGCGGUGGAGCAUGUGGUUUAAUUCGAUGAUACGCGAGGAACCUUACCAAGGCUAGAAUGGGAGAGGAAUGUCGGUGAAAGCCGGCAGGCCGCAAGGACUUCUUCCAAGGUGCUGCAUGGCUGUCGU